Molecule: long non-coding RNA, 1440 nt
Filed under: Gadus morhua (Atlantic cod)
Lineage: Eukaryota; Metazoa; Chordata; Actinopteri; Gadiformes; Gadidae
Description: lncRNA (ENSGMOG00000033648.1)
Source: RNAcentral
AAAUAAUCUCCCCAGAAAGUACUAUAAAAUAAUAAGUUCGGCGCUUUUAUUUAAUUUUUAGUCGACCCUGGCUUGCUUCUUCCGGCUGAGUCGUCUGGAGGGGCAAGAGGGGCUAUGUAUUUUUGUUGAUUUAAUUCGUAAUGAUAAUUGUUUAUUAAUUGUUUAUUAAUAGUUUAUAAACAAUUAUGUUUUAUUCAAUAUAUUUCGACAGUCUCACCCCUUAUGGGUUUAUCACACAAUUAAUCAAGGAUAAACGCUAUGUAUUUUUGUUGAUUUAAUUCGUAAUGAUAAUUGUUUAUUAAUUGUUUAUUAAUAGUUUAUAAACAAUUAUGUUUUAUUCAAUAUAUUUCGACAGUGUCACCCCUUAUGGGUUUUUCAUGACGACAGAUAAAAAAACGACAGUGUUACCCUUUACGUUUCAUUUGAUGAAAACGACAGUUUUACCCCAUAUGUUUUUUUCCCAUGAUGACCGAUGAAAAACAACAGUGUUGUAUUUUAUUUGACAAGGACAUUUUUUUUUUUUUUUUAAUAUGUUUUUUUUCAUGACGACCAAUAAAAAAACAACAGUGUUACCCCUUAUGUAUUUUUCAUGACGACCAAAGAAAAACGACAGUGUCACCCCACAUGUUUCAUUUGAUUAAAACGACAGUGUUACCCCCUAUGUUUUAAUGGAUAAAUAUCGACAGUGUUACCCCUUAUGUUUUUUUCAUGAUGACCGAUAAAAAACAACAAUGUCACCCAUUAUGUUUUUUUCAUGACGACCAAAGAAAAACAACAGUGUUACCCCUUAUGUUUUUUUCAUGACGACCAAUAAAAAACGACAGCUUUACCCCUUGUGGUUUUUUUCAUGACGACCAAAGAAAAACAACAAUGUUACCCCCUCUGUUUUUUUUCAUGACGACCAAUAAAAAACAACAGUGUUACCCCUUAUGUUUUUUUUCAUGCUGACCAAUAAAAAACGACAGUGUUACCCAUUAUAUUUUAUUGACAAAGACAACAGUGUUACCCCAUGUUUUUUUUCAUGACGACCAAUAAAAAAGAACAGUGUUACCCCUUAUGUUUUUUUUCAUGAUGACCAAAGAAAAACGAGUGUCACCCCUCAUGUUUCAUUUGAUAAAAAUGACAGUGUUACCCCCUAUGUUUUAAUGGAUAAAUAUCGACAGUGUUACCCCUUAUGUUUUUUUCAUGACGACCGAUAAAAAACAACAAUGUUACCAAUUAUGUUUUUUUUCAUGACGACCAAAGAAAAACAACAGUGUUACCCCUUAUGUUUUUUUUCAUGACGACCAAUGAAAAACGACAGCUUUACCCUUUGUGGUUUUUUUCAUGACGACUAAAGAAAAACGACAGUGUUACCCCUUAUGUAUUUUUCAUGACGACCAAAGAAAAACGACAGUGUCACCCCACAUGUUUCAUUUGAUUAAAACGACAGUGUUACCC